Molecule: ribosomal RNA, 253 nt
Filed under: uncultured bacterium
Lineage: Bacteria
Description: partial 16S ribosomal RNA
Rfam family: Bacterial small subunit ribosomal RNA
Source: RNAcentral
UACAGAGGGCCCAAGCGUUGUUCGGAUUCAUUGGGCGUAAAGGGUGCGUAGGUGGCGUCGUAAGUCGGGUGUGAAAUCUCGGGGCUUAACUCCGAAACUGCAUUCGAUACUGCGGUGCUUGAGGACUGGAGAGGAGACUGGAAUUUACGGUGUAGCAGUGAAAUGCGUAGAGAUCGUAAGGAAGACCAGUGGCGAAGGCGGGUCUCUGGACAGUUCCUGACACUGAGGCACGAAGGCCAGGGGAGCAAACGGG